UAAGGAAUAUUGGUCAAUGGACGCAAGUCUGAACCAGCCAUGCCGCGUGAAGGAUGAAGGUCCUCUGGAUUGUAAACUUCUUUUAUCUGGGACGAAAACGGGAUUUUUAUCUCAAUUGACGGUACCAGAGGAAUAAGCACCGGCUAACUCCGUGCCAGCAGCCGCGGUAAUACGGAGGGUGCGAGCGUUAUCCGGAUUUACUGGGUUUAAAGGGUGCGUAGGUGGGCUUAUAAGUCAGUGGUGAAAUCUCCGAGCUUAACUUGGAAACUGCCGUUGAUACUAUAGGUCAUGAACUAUCUGGAGGUAAGCGGAAUAUGUCAUGUAGCGGUGAAAUGCUUAGAUAUGACAUAGAACACCAAUUGCGAAGGCAGCUUACUACAUAUAAAUUGACGCUGAGGCACGAAAGCGUGGGGAUCAAACA
Molecule: ribosomal RNA, 421 nt
Filed under: uncultured bacterium
Lineage: Bacteria
Description: bacterial SSU rRNA
Rfam family: Bacterial small subunit ribosomal RNA
Source: RNAcentral